UACUGCUGCUCUGCACACUGACCCCUUCACCAGGAAUCGCUCUGAAAAUAAUUUAAAAAGUACUUUCAACCACUGCUGCUCUGCACGCUGACUCACUUCACCAGGAAUCUUUCCAGAAACAUGUUACCAGAUCUUCUCGAUCCAACUAUUACUGCUCUGAAGCCUUAAAAUCAUUCACGUGAAUGACUCGCAAGUGGUUUUUUUCAAUGACUGUCUAUAAUUAUGCAUGAUUAACUUAACUCUUAUUAACUCAAUAACAUGACUAACCUCACUAACUUA
This is a long non-coding RNA of Ctenocephalides felis (cat flea), 279 nucleotides long. RefSeq lists it as uncharacterized. NCBI's taxonomy places the organism in Eukaryota, Metazoa, Arthropoda, Insecta, Siphonaptera, Pulicidae. The record is from RefSeq and is a predicted model, not a curated record. The transcript is spliced from 3 exons.